CUACGUGCCAGCAGCCGCGGUAAUACGUAGGUGGCGAGCGUUGUCCGGAAUUAUUGGGCGUAAAGGAUGCGUAGGUGGAUUUUUAAGUGGGAUGUGAAAUCCCUGGGCUCAACCCGGGAACUGCAUUCCAUACUGGAUAUCUAGAGUGCAGGAGAGGAAAAUGGAAUUCCCAGUGUAGCGGUGAAAUGCGUAGAUAUUGGGAGGAACACCAGUGGCGAAGGCGAUUUUCUGGACCGUAACUGACGCUGAGGCAUGAAAGCGUGGGGAGCAAACAGGAUUAGAUACCCUGGUAGUCCACGCCGUAAACGAUGAGUACUAGGUGUAGG
This 326-nucleotide ribosomal RNA is filed under the name uncultured bacterium. RNAcentral's name for it is "bacterial SSU rRNA". It matches the Rfam family "Bacterial small subunit ribosomal RNA", at positions 501 to 826 of the family's 1533-position model. The record is from RNAcentral.